This 431-nucleotide ribosomal RNA is filed under the name uncultured bacterium. Its description in RNAcentral is "partial 16S ribosomal RNA". It matches the Rfam family "Bacterial small subunit ribosomal RNA", at positions 29 to 507 of the family's 1533-position model. The record is from RNAcentral.
AACGAACGCUGGCGGCAGGCUUAACACAUGCAAGUCGAGCGCCCCGCAAGGGGAGCGGCAGACGGGUGAGUAACGCGUGGGAACGUACCUUUUGGUUCGGAACAACUCCGGGAAACUGGAGCUAAUACCGGAUAAGCCCUAACGGGGAAAGAUUUAUCGCCGAAAGAUUGGCCCGCGUCUGAUUAGCUAGUUGGUGAGGUAACGGCUCACCAAGGCGACGAUCAGUAGCUGGUCUGAGAGGAUGAUCAGCCACACUGGGACUGAGACACGGCCCAGACUCCUACGGGAGGCAGCAGUGGGGAAUAUUGGACAAUGGGCGCAAGCCUGAUCCAGCCAUGCCGCGUGAGUGAUGAAGGCCUUAGGGUUGUAAAGCUCUUUUGUCCGGGAAGAUAAUGACUGUACCGGAAGAAUAAGCCCCGGCUAACUUCGUG